Molecule: ribosomal RNA, 497 nt
Filed under: uncultured bacterium
Lineage: Bacteria
Description: partial 16S ribosomal RNA
Rfam family: Bacterial small subunit ribosomal RNA
Source: RNAcentral
GAUGAACGCUGGCGGCGUGCCUAAUACAUGCAAGUCGAGCGAACAGACGAGGAGCUUGCUCCUCUGACGUUAGCGGCGGACGGGUGAGUAACACGUGGAUAACCUACCUAUAAGACUGGGAUAACUUCGGGAAACCGGAGCUAAUACCGGAUAAUAUAUUGAACCGCAUGGUUCAAUAGUGAAAGACGGUUUUGCUGUCACUUAUAGAUGGAUCCGCGCCGCAUUAGCUAGUUGGUAAGGUAACGGCUUACCAAGGCGACGAUGCGUAGCCGACCUGAGAGGGUGAUCGGCCACACUGGAACUGAGACACGGUCCAGACUCCUACGGGAGGCAGCAGUAGGGAAUCUUCCGCAAUGGGCGAAAGCCUGACGGAGCAACGCCGCGUGAGUGAUGAAGGUCUUGGGAUCGUAAAACUCUGUUAUUAGGGAAGAACAAAUGUGUAAGUAACUAUGCACGUCUUGACGGUACCUAAUCAGAAAGCCACGGCUAACUACGUG